GUUGGUCCUUCCAGCUCCUCUCUGCCGUCGAGGGUGGGGGUGAUCUGGCACAGGGGGUGCAGCUCCCCCGUUUAUAUGCAUAAUCUCCAACCGAGUUCUGCUGCAGGAAGGUUCCUGGGACACCAAUCUCGCCUCGAUUUUCAGCUUUGUCUUUACUCUCCUGCCCUCCACCGGAGGGAAGGAGCAUGCACCCUGCAGAGCAGCCACCCCUGGGGCUUCCCAAACUCCUUGGGAUCCACCCUCGCCUCCUAAUCCUGGUCGUAAUCCCGGAAAGCGACAUCCGGUGGCAAGUGCGAGUCCCCGGCAGAAGGUGCAAGGCCAUCGGCGGGAUGCGGACGGGUAUUCGGGCAAGCCCUUCUCUCUCAUUAGAGGGUCAUUAACCCUCUACUUAGUCGGUGGUGGGGGCAGGAGGGGGCUCAGGAAGGAGCGGAGCUGACUGUAUCUCCCCGGUCCUGGCUGCUGCCUCUCCUUGCUAUUCGGCUUCGUGCAGGAUCCGCUGCCGUGUAGCUACAACCCCCCACAGCUGCUUUUUAUUCCUGCAGACAAGGAGGGAGUGUGUUCCCCGCCCCAGAGGACAGAUACAGAUAUACAAGGCAAACUAAAGGUUUCGGCUGCUAUUCAGCGUCUCCUCAUUUGUCCCAGAGCUGUAACAGUGGUGCCCUUUCUCUUCUGGCUGCUUUUCCCUGCUUCUGGAGCAGCAGUUAUGGGAGAAGCAGAUGGCUACUGAUUGGGUGAGCUUUGUGGCUUUAAUACUGAAUACUUUAUGGAAAAGGAUUUUAUCAUGCUUGGUUGACCAGAGGAACAACGGGAUGAGAUUUAUGACUAGAGAAAAUAAAUCUUUUUAAGUUUUAGG
Long non-coding RNA from Pezoporus flaviventris, 853 nucleotides. RefSeq lists it as uncharacterized. NCBI's taxonomy places the organism in Eukaryota, Metazoa, Chordata, Aves, Psittaciformes, Psittacidae. The transcript is spliced from 2 exons. The record is from RefSeq and is a predicted model, not a curated record.